CUUCAUUCCUGCUGUUACCCAUUUAUAACCUUGGGAUGAGCAUCAGCAAAUACUAUGAUAACGAAGAGGUGUUUGGCAUUUUGGAGCAAGCUAAAGAGCAAUUUGAUUUAGAAGACUAUUCUGUCAGUCAGAUCACACUGGAACAAGUCUUCCUGACCUUUGCUAACCCAGAGAAAUCAUCCAGUGAUGAUGAAAACGAGGUGCCAUGAGAUUCCCUCUAAAAAAAAAAAAAAAAAAAAAAAAAACAGAAAAAGAAAAAAAA
Molecule: long non-coding RNA, 262 nt
Filed under: Gorilla gorilla gorilla (western lowland gorilla)
Lineage: Eukaryota; Metazoa; Chordata; Mammalia; Primates; Hominidae
Description: lncRNA (ENSGGOG00000044515.1)
Source: RNAcentral